GAACGUCUUUCCAAGAAGAACCCUGAAUACAUGGAAUCAAAAAGCUCAGUCUUUGAUAUUAAAAUGCAGGUUUUUUUUUUUUUAAGUUUCUCACUUGAGUUGUGAAAAAUUGCUGAAUCUUCUAGCAAUAAAUGCUAGAGAAGGAAGGAAAAAAAAUGGAAAAUUAAAAAAUAUAUAUAGCUAUCGCACACCCCUUUAUAAAGUUUAGCUUGCCUGUCAUUUGUUUCAUCCUUGUUCUUCUGACAAAUAUGUCCUAUGGUCCCCUCAAAUAGUUUCUAUAAUACAUAUAAUUAAUAUAUACCAGGUGAAGAUAUAGUUGUCAGAUUUUUGAAUUCAGGAACAUGCAAGCUUCAAAUAAUCUCUGUCUCUCUCUCUCUACGGUAUAUAUAUUUGGAUAUAAAUGAGCCAUAAUUGAAUUUAAGUACAUUUUUUUUAUAUAUAUCAAAAAAUUUUAAAGAGAAAUGAUAUCAG
RNAcentral lists this unclassified non-coding RNA (471 nucleotides) under Hevea brasiliensis (rubber tree). Lineage: Eukaryota; Viridiplantae; Streptophyta; Magnoliopsida; Malpighiales; Euphorbiaceae. The record is from RNAcentral.